GAAAUACCACCCUUGUAGUGUUGAUGUUCUAACGUCGACCCCUUAUCGGGGUUGCGGACAGUGCCUGGUGGGUAGUUUGACUGGGGCGGUCUCCUCCCAAAGAGUAACGGAGGAGCACGAAGGUGGGCUAAUCACGGUUGGACAUCGUGAGGUUAGUGCAAUGGCAUAAGCCCGCUUGACUGCGAGAAUGACAAUUCGAGCAGGUGCGAAAGCAGGUCAUAGUGAUCCGGUGGUUCUGAAUGGAAGGGCCAUCGCUCAACGGAUAAAAGGUACUCCGGGGAUAACAGGCUGAUACCGCCCAAGAGUUCAUAUCGACGGCGGUGUUUGGCACCUCGAUGUCGGCUCAUCACAUCCUGGGGCUGAAGUCGGUCCCAAGGGUAUGGCUGUUCGCCAUUUAAAGUGGUACGCGAGCUGGGUUUAGAACGUCGUGAGACAGUUCGGUCCCUAUCUGCCGUGGGCGUUGGAAGAUUGAAGGGGGCUGCUCCUAGUACGAGAGGACCGGAGUGGACGAACCUCUGGUGUUCGGGUUGUGUCGCCAGACGCAUUGCCCGGUAGCUAAGUUCGGAAUCGAUAACCGCUGAAAGCAUCUAAGCGGGAAGCGAGCCCUGAGAUGAGUCUUCCCUGAUACUUUAAGUAUCCUAAAGGGUUGUCGGAGACUACGACGUUGAUAGGUCAGGUGUGUAAGUGCUGUGAGGCAUUGAGCUAACUGAUACUAAUUGCCCGUGAGGCUUAACCAU
This 737-nucleotide ribosomal RNA is filed under the name Vibrio parahaemolyticus. RNAcentral's name for it is "partial 23S ribosomal RNA". It matches the Rfam family "Bacterial large subunit ribosomal RNA", at positions 2194 to 2925 of the family's 2925-position model. Lineage: Bacteria; Pseudomonadati; Pseudomonadota; Gammaproteobacteria; Vibrionales; Vibrionaceae. The record is from RNAcentral.